CGCAAGCCUGACGGAGCAAGACCGCGUGCGGGAUGACGGCCUAGUGGUUGUAAACCGCUUUUCUCUGGGAAGAUGAUGACGGUACCAGAGGAAUCAGCCUCGGCUAACUCCGUGCCAGCAGCCGCGGUAAUACGGAGGAGGCAAGCGUUAUCCGGAAUUAUUGGGCGUAAAGCGUCCGUAGGUGGUUAUUCAAGUCUGCUGUCAAAGCGUGGGGCUUAACUCCAUAGAGGCAGUGGAAACUGGAUGACUUGAGUGCGGUAGGGGUCGAGGGAAUUCCCAGUGUAGCGGUGAAAUGCGUAGAUAUUGGGAAGAACACCAGUGGCGAAAGCGCUCGACUGGGCCUGCACUGACACUGAGGGACGAAAGCUAGGGGAGCG
This 377-nucleotide ribosomal RNA is filed under the name uncultured cyanobacterium. RNAcentral describes it as "bacterial SSU rRNA". It matches the Rfam family "Bacterial small subunit ribosomal RNA", at positions 376 to 770 of the family's 1533-position model. The record is from RNAcentral. Lineage: Bacteria; Bacillati; Cyanobacteriota.